UUCACACGAACGGAGUUUAACGGGUGUUUGUUUGAUGCUGCUCAUGACGGGCAGUUAUUAGUUUAACAUUAGUAGUCCAUUUUAUCUGAAGCGAGUGUAGAAUGCUACCGUUAGUUCAUCUCAGGGAACAUAACAAACUUUACAAGUAGCCUACUGCAAAACAAAGUUACAGAGUUCGACAGAACCUAAGUUUGUGAGUGGAGCGUUUAUUUCUGUUGCAAUGUUUUUGAGUUUUACUACUUCACUCGGCAAUCUUUUUUCAUUUCUAUAGAAGAAUGUAGCAGUGUUCCAGUAAUAUGUGUAGACACUUCAUCACGUAUAACUUUAUUUGCACAAUGCAAGAUCAACAGGAUGUUAAACAAUGUGGAAAUGUUGGCAAAGAGGGUACUUUUGGACUUUGGACUUCUUCCUGCAGUAGAUGCAUAUUUGCAUGUAAAAGACUGUAUACCUAACACUAGACUGUUCACUAAAAUCAAAUGGAUUAAUAUAAUGAUUUCUGAUAGCACAACAAAACCUUAGUUCAGGGAUUCUCAAAGUUAUUUGUCAGCUUAACUCUUUUGAUGUAAAAUAUUUUAAGUUAUAACUUGUGUAGUUAUGAAUAAUGUGUACAGUUAAUGUGUGAUGCAAUGAAUCCAUGUAUGAAAUUAUUUCACAUGAAUAUAAUAUUGAAAGUGGGAAGACCGAAACAUUCUGUACAAUGCAAUACAUCAAAUCCACUGUGAAAUAAAAGUGCAAAUAAUACAAAAACUUAUACUGUGAUAUGUGAACAACUUGUUUGUUUUAGAUAUGUCAGUGACUUUUUUUUUUUUCUUUAGUGAAUGUAUAUGAUUGCAGGUAAGUACAUGUGUCCAUGCUUAACACUGUAUGCUAAAAUACAAUAUAAACAGACAGUAAGUUUAUCCUGCAAGAAUAGUAGCCGGUUUAAUAUGAGUCCUGCAGGAAUGAGCAAGAUGAUUCAUGCACAAGGCUUAAAAAAACCUACAGCUAUAGAUCUAAUCCUACAGGAAUUCAAAAUUCACGUAGGUAGUGGUCCUGCGGGACAAUUGUGUGUUCACUUGAGUUUAAAAAAAGUGCAUCUCUACAGAAAUCACCUGUAAAUGAUAGCAAGUGGAGUAUAUGGUUUCAAAUGAGAAGUAGAUUAGUAUUUUAUUGUUUCCCAAAACAAAGGAGAAUUGAAACUAAGUGCUUCGUACUACUUACUAAACCUGAUUUCCAUUUAUCAACUUGAUCAUUGUGAUAAAUAUUCAUGGAACGGAUAUAUUGCAUCCAUGCUUUAUACAGUGGGUACGUAAAGUAUUCAGACCCCCUUACAUUUUUCACUCUGUUAUAUUGCAGCCAUUUGCUAAAAUCAUUUAAGUUCUUUUUUUUUCUCAAUGUACACACAGCACCUCAUAUUGACAGAAAAACACAGAAUUGUUGACAUUUCUUUCAGAUUUAUUAAAAAAAAGAAAAACUGAAAUAUCACAUGGUCUUAAGUAUUCAGAUCCUUUGCUCAGUGUUUAGUAGAAGCACUCUUUUGAUCGAAAACAGCCAUGAGUCAUUUUGGGAAAGCUGCAACAGAACAGUCACAGAGUUGUUGUGAAGCCACUCCUUCGUUAUUUUAGCUGUGUGCUUAGGGUCAUUGUCUUGACAGAAGGUGAAUGUUCGACCCAGUCUGAGGUCCUGAGCACUCUGGAGAAGGUUUUCGUCCAGGUCCCUGUUCUUGGCCGCAUUCAUCUUUCCCUCGAUUGCAACCAUUCGUCCUGUCCCUGCAGCUGAAAAACACCCCCACAGCAUGAUGCUGCCACCACCACGCUUCACUGUUGGGACUGUAUAGGACAGGUGAUGAGCAGUGCCUGGUUUUCUCCACAUAUACCGCUUCGAAUUAAGGCCAAAAAGUUCUAUCUUUGUCUCUUCAGAUCAGAGAAUCCUUCAGGUGUUUUUUAGCAAACUCCAUGGGGGCUUUCAUGUGUCUUGCACUGAGGAGAGGCUCUGACUGGUGGAGGGUUGCAGUGAUGGUUGACUUUCAACAACUUUCUCCCAUCUCCCCACUGCAUGUCUGGAUCUCAGCCACAGUGAUCUUUGGGUUCUUCUUUACCUCUCUCACCAAGGCUCUUCUCCCCCGAUAGCUCAGUUUGGCUGGACGGCCAGCUCUAGGAAGGGUUCUGGUCAUCCCAAACGUCUUCCAUUUAAGGAUUAUGGAGGCCACUGUGCUCUUAGGAACCUUAUGUGCAGCAGAAUUUUAAAUACCUUGUCUUUCGUCCAUUUUAAUUAUAGCUGUCUAUAGUUUGAACGAAGACCUCAUAAUCAUAUUGUAAGGUUAUAAGUGACUUGUUUUCUUUGAGUAAUAAGUUGUGUAUGGUAAUAUUCAAAUUGUAGCGUGCAUGAGUGACCGCAGCUCCAUGUUUUUUUAACCUUGAAAAUGAUGUCAAGGUUAUUUGAUGAAAUGUUUGUUUUUGUCAAACCCCCAUAUGACUCUCUUUCACUCUAAGUUUAGGUAUAGAGCAAGCUUUGUUUGCUUUAACUGGACGUCUCAGUUUAGCUCCUGCUAGCAGUAUCAUGGGAAAUCACUCCUUUGGCCUGUGUGUCUGUAUAAAGCUUUACUUUCAUAAAGCAUGUUAACAUUGGUUCUGUGAAAUGUAUGAAUGUACACUGUUCAUAAUAUAUAUUCUGUGUUCCACAAAGAAAGUAAGUCAUUCAGAUUUAGAAUGUGACAUGAAAAUUUUAAUUUGUGGGUGAACUGUCCCUGAUGCAGGUCAGAGCUUCUCACAUAAAAUCUCACAUGAGAAUGCUAAAUCUUUACCAAGAUACAAGUAACUUUUAAACCAAAAUCUUUUAUGCAUGAUACAGUCUAGAGUAGGUUAUCUUUAACCACUUUAAGGAACAACAUGACGAUAUAGUACUUCUGUCUGUAAUCAGAAACAUGACUAAUUGAAAUUGAAGCCAUGUGCUAUAUUUGUCUACAUCUGUGUGUAAAUGACUUCUAAUUAGAUUUGGAAAAUGUUAAACUCACAUCAAACUCUUCAAAGAGGUUUUUUUUUUUUUUUACUUGAAGGGAUUUUUCACCCAAAAAUAAAAAAAAUUACCCUAAGAUUUACUCACCCCUCAAGCCAUCCUAGGAGUCUAUAACUUUCUUCCUUCAGACAAACGCAAUUGGAAUAUAUAUAUAUAUAUAUAUAUGUUCUAAAUUCCCUAUGUGUGUUUAUAGUGGAAGGACUAUUAUUAUGAAUGUGUGCCGCUAGUUUAUGUGAGUUCCGCUAUUCCGGUUUCACUUUCACUUUCAAUAGCCGAUUGCUGCGCCAUUUUCAUCAGGUGUUAAUGUGCGUGAUUGAAUGUAAGUUUAUUUAAUCAUUCCUGAUUAUAGGUCAGCUAUGUUAAUUUCGUUGUUGUGUUUAAAUACUCAACUUGUGUAAUCGAACUUUACAUUGUUUAUAAUGUUGUUAUAUUUAAGAUAUACAGUGAUUCAAAUGUGUAUGCUCACUACCGUUAAUCCUCUCAUGUUGAUUAAUGUAUAAUGUGACAGUAGAAAGUUGUUAGUUCCAUUACAGGUCUGUAAUUUACAUUUAGCAGAUGUAAACUGAUGUUUGUUUAUUCUGUUUAUUUCAGAAAGACCACAUUUAACACUUUGUGGCCAUAACUUGUACAAAAUCCAGUCUAAUUGAAGCAAUGUUGUGCCAUCUGCUGUGAACCCUCAAAUACUUCAGAUAAAGAGUUGAACAGUGCCCUGUCUCCUGUCACACUUCUUACCGGAGUCCCGUGGUGGAUUAGCAUCAACACCCCUACCGAUCUAUUAGUCCCGUUCAUUUUGGUCCUUCGAGCCGGAUGCUAUAUUCACUUCGGUGAUAUGGAGCAACAGAGCCUACUUCAUUCCCCUGAUACGACACACGGUGUUCGCACACAGGCGAGAGCACGUCAGCUUUCCACACGUCUGCAAGCUUAUGAUGUAGCCUUGCCGAAGUCUCUCAUACCAGACCCUGUUCUUCACGAAACUUCAUACCACCUACCAAGGAUGGAUUCUCCAGCAGCGCAGUUCGACCUCAGUGGACAGGCCGAGCCAGUCUCGACUGUGGAGCAGCUGCCCAUGGGUGAUCUAUCGCUGGUGCAGUAUGGAGAAGUAUCCGCUAUGAGUCAUCAGUUGGAUGUUGAGAGAUCUGUCGGUCAUCUUAGCUCUUCAGUAGCUCCUCCAGGGUAUCACAGCCCAUCCGAGUGUGAUUCAUUCAGUAGUGGUGCUGCAUCACCCAUAUUCCAGGUAGAUGUACGAGCCCAAACUACUUCACCACCUGUAGUCAGACCAAAGGCUACUGCAGUCUCAUCUGUCCCGCUUCCGCAUUUAGGCCAGUCAUUUCAAGCUCAGACAGCCCACAUUGAUAUUUCUCAGCAGUCAGUUUUGUGGCACGUAACACAAGGCACCCUUCCUGCUGCAUAUGGUACUACUUCGACAUAUCGUGGUGCUCCCCCCUUAUCUGUACCACAUGUAACGCCACAGCAGGGGGUUCUGUUCAGCACAGUAGAUUCUACAUGUCAGCUUACCUCAUCACUGCCACAUACUGUUACUUCAGUGAAGCUGCCUUUGACCACUACAGCGUAUAGGCCUUUAGUACCCCCUGUAUAUCAGUUACAGGCUCACAUGCCGAGCCAAGCCACACGGCAGUCGUUCGCUGUCUCUGACCCGUAUCGCCCUCCUCUACAGACUGCUGGGUAUCACCCUGCUCAGCCUCCCGUCCACACUCCUGUGCAGCCUGGGUAUCCCCCUUCAGUGGUUCGCCAGCCACCACCUCCUUUUCCAGUUUACCAGCCUCUGCCAGUUACACCCCAGCUACAACCAGUUCCCAUUCCAGCCUUGCCUAAGCUUGUGAACGAUAGUGAGAGGGAGUUCACAGACCUGAAGAUGGCCUUGGAUAAUCUUCUCAAUCCUCACACCGAGCUUACAGAGCACUAUAAAUACAGGGUACUGAUGGAGCAGUUGGUUCUUGAGGAAGCUAGGUUAAUUGCCCAAGCAUGCCGACAUCAUCCUGCGCCCUAUAUGGCAGCUAUGAUAGCAUUGCAACGACAGUAUGGCCAGCCUCAUCAACUGGCACAGAGCGAGAUCGCAGCCUUGCUGAACUCACCUGAUAUUAGAGUUGGUGAUGCAAAGGCCUUUCAGAGUUUUGCACUCAAUGUUGACUUACUAGUUGGUAUGCUGAUGUCACUCGAGGGGCCACAGGGCCGAGAGCUCUCUUGUACAGGGCAUGUCGAUAGAUUACUCAGUAAGUUGCCCAAACACUACCGAGACAGCUUUAUAGAGCAUUUACAGUUACGAGGCCGAUUGCACACUGACAGCCUAAAUCCAUAUAACCUGCAUGACCUUGCUGACUGGUUGAAGGUCAAGGCGGAAGCGCAGUGUUUAUCUACCAAGAUGGUGCAGCGCUACCAGACAGAGAGAGUACAGGUCUCACGUAAGGACCGCCAGUCUGUACCCAAGCCCCAGACUCGAUCCACUGCAGUCUAUCAUGGAAGUGAACAGCCCAUGGAAGCUAGCACAGGGCAGUCUGUCCACACCAAUGCUGCUAAUUCUCAGUCAUCGGCCAGGAGACUGAAGCGUUUGUGUCUGUUCUGUAAGAGUCAGGAGCAUUACCUGUCACAGUGUAGCAAAAUCACUGAGUGCUCACCUGAUCAGAUUCUGAAGUGGAUAAAGGAUGGGAAAAGAUGCUGGAAAUGUGGACGCACAAGUCAUAAAUGGGAGGAAUGUACUCUGAAGAAGCCCUGCAGGGAUUGUGGUAAUAUACAUCUCGGAGUGCUGCAUUCCAUUGCCCAGGAUGGUCCUAGCAGUGUGCUGCUGACAACUUCUCACGAGCGUGCAUAUCUCACUUCUCCUAGUUUCACGGGUCGUGUGUACUUGAAAGUAGUUCCAGUGCUUCUGUGGAGAGGCAAGAUGUCUAUUUCAACUUACGCUAUCUUGGAUGAUGGGGCUCAGCGGAGUAUCAUCCUUCCUGCAGCUGUCCAGCAACUUGGUAUUGAUGGAAGAGAAGAGAUUAUGGCCCUUCGUACCAUCCGACAUGACAUCACAGAAUUGAAGGGGCAGUCAAUUGACUUGCUGCUUUCCCCACAGUCAAGGCCAGAGGAGAAGCACAGCCUUACAGGUAUCUUCACCGCGCCUCUCCUCACGCUUACUGAGCAAACCUACCCUAUCAAGAGGCUCCAGCGAUGUUAUCACCAUCUCAGAGGGAUACCCAUUCCAUCUUUCGCUAGGGUCCAACCCUUAAUUUUAAUUGGGUCUGAUUAUCCUACAUUAAUUACCCCAAAGGAGCCCAUCAGAUUGGGCCCAGCGGGCGGACCAGUCGCUGUACGCACGCAGCUCGGUUGGGUCCUCCAGGGACCAGAUGGAUUGCUCCCACAUCAGAUACCUUCAUCUCAGUGUUUGUUCACUUCUCUUACACCACUGCGAGAUCCUGUCUAUCAGCAUGUUGAACGACUCUGGCAGCUUGAUGUCCUUCCAUCUCGCAGCGAGAAAGUGAUAACUCGGUCUAAACAGGAUCAGAUGGCUGCAGACAUGUUGGAGACCAAGACGCGACGAGUAGAAGUUGACGGAGUCCGGCGCUACGCUACUCCACUCCUUCGUGCGCCAAACGCUCCACCGCUGAAGGGGACUAUGGAAUCCGUUUUGUCCAGCCUCAGGAACACUGAGAAACACCUGAGUAGAGACCCUGAGAGGGCUAAGGUGUACGAAGCUGAAAUACAGAAGCUCCUUGAUUCAGGGUAUGUUGUCAGGGUACCAUCAGAAGGCCAGCAUGUAGACGAGGAGUCGUGGUUCAUACCACACCACCUCGUGCAGCAUAAUGACAAGUACAGGUUGGUCUUCAAUUGUUCCUUUGCCUACCAAGGUAUGUCUCUUAACCAGCAGUUGCUUCCAGGUCCUACCCUCGGUGCCUCACUGCUAGGAGUACUUGUGCGGUUCCGGCAGUACGCGGUAGCCAUCAGUGGGGAUAUACGUGGUAUGUUCCACCAAGUGAGACUCCUACCGGAGGAUAGACCCCUUCUGAGGUUCAUUUGGAGGAACAUGCGCAGAAAGGACCCGCCAGACAUCUAUGAAUGGCAAGUCUUGCCUUUCGGGACGACCUGCAGCCCCUGCUGCGCCACCUUCGCGCUGCAGAUGCACGUUCGCUGCCAGCAGUUCGGCAAUGAGGAAGUAUUGCAGUCCAUAGAGCGGAGCUUCUACGUGGACAACUGCCUACAGAGCCUUCCCACUGCUGAGGAAGCCAAGCGACUCAUUGACAAGAUGAGGCCUCUCUUAGCCUCCGGGGGCUUUGAAAUCAGACAGUGGGCCACUAAUAUCCCUUCUGUUGUCCAGCACCUCCCAUCUAAAGCUCGUUCAGAGAGCAUUGACCCUCUAGGAUUCUCCAUUCCUUUCACCACCCGUGCCAAGGUUCUCGUUCAGAGACUCUGGAACAAACCGAGAGAUUGGGAUGAUCCGAAUCUUCCUGCAGACCUGCUGGAGAAGUGGACCGUAUGGGAGAAGGAGCUGCCUGAUCUCUAUAAGCUCACGCUUCCAAGGUGCUAUCUUCCUGCUGACUUUGAUGUGGAGAAAUCAAAAUUAAGCCUUCAUGUGUUUGGCGAUGCAUCCGAGGUUGCCUAUGGGUCGGUGGCUUAUCUCCGUGCAGAGCAACACAGUAAGAUCCACACUACCUUUGUCAUGGCUCGCUCUAGGGUAGCCCCCAAGCGUCAACUGUCGAUGCCACGUCUCGAGCUGUGUGCAGCAUUGACUAGCGCUCAGCUUGCACAGUUUCUCAAACAGGAGCUAACCAUUGCCAUAGAGACAGUGACAUUAUGGACUGACUCGACUACAGUACUGACCUGGAUCCAGUCUGAGUCCUGUAGAUACAAAGUGUUCGUCGGGACAAGAGUGGCAGAAAUACAAGAGUUGACUGAGCUCCACUCUUGGCGAUACGUUGACUCCUCAAAUAACCCGGCGGACGAUAUUACCAGAGGGAGAACGCUCAAGGAGCUGGCUAACUCUGACAUGUGGAGUCGAGGCCCAGGAUUCCUCCGUGAACCGCCAGAUCAUUGGCCAGUCAAGCCCCUGGCAGAGGCCCGAGAGGAUACCUUAGAAACAAGGAAAGCUGUUUUCUGUGGAUUAGUCACAGACGAUCGAAAUCCAGACAUGCCUGAUGCAUCUCAGUAUACUUCUUGGAGUGCCUUAGUCGACGCGACCUACCGGUCCCUCCAUGGGGCGGCCGCCCAAGAUACUAGUAAAGCAUCCUUAGAAUACAGGCGUGCAGAAGCUCUUAUCUUGAGUCAAUGUCAGGAGGAGUCUUUCCCAGAGGAAUUCAAGGCCUUAAAAUCAGGGAACCAGGUGCCCACAGCCAGCCGUCUGAACACGCUUGCACCCGAGUUCGACCCUGAGUUCUGCCUAAUUCGUGUGGGAGGUAGGCUACGGCGAUUGGAUGGCUUCAGCAAAACCGAGAUACACCCAGUGGUUCUAGAUCCCCAUCAUCAGGUGACAAAACUCAUCGUUAAGCACUUUGAUGAGCGUCUACUCCAUCCAGGACCUGAUAGGGUCUUCGCAGAGCUCCGUCGCCAUUUCUGGAUCCUAAGGGGCAGGCAAGCCAUCAAACGACACCAGAGAGAGUGCGUAGAAUGUCAGAAGUGGAGAGCUAAGCCGACUCUACCUAUUAUGUCUGACUUACCCUCAGCUCGCCUAAGAUUGUACCAACCCCCCUUCUUCUCUACUGGAGUCGACUGCUUCGGGCCAUUCAUGGUUAAGAUUGGCCGUCGGACGGAGAAGCGAUGGGGCGUCAUCUUCAAGUGCCUGACAACCAGAUGCAUUCACCUUGACCUGCUCAGCAGCAUUGACACUGAUGCAUUCUUACUGGCAUUAAGGCGCUUCAUAGCACGCAGAGGAACCCCAUCUGAGAUCAUAUCAGAUCAGGGUACUAACUUCCGGGGAGCCGAGACCAAACUGAGAGAAGCUUUCAAGGAGAUGGAGCCCAGACUGCAGGAGCAGCUGGCUAGUUAUCAGAUCACUUUUAGGAUGAAUCCUCCCGCUGUACCCCACUUCGGAGGCGCAUGGGAAAGGGAGAUCCGAUCUGUAAAGUCUGCACUGCGAGUAGUCAUCGGGAGUCAGUCUGUGCCUGAAGAUGUCCUACAGACUGUACUGACCGAAGUAGAGGGUAUCCUGAACAGCAAGCCCUUGGGAUACGUUUCAUCCGACGUGGCAGACUUGGAUCCAAUAACCCCAAAUAUGCUUCUCAUGGGGCGGCGAGACGCCUCGCUUCCCCAGGUGGUCUACACCCCUGAGCCCUUGUCCAAGCGUCGCUGGCGUCAUUCCCAGACUAUCAUCGAUCAUUUCUGGUCUUACUUUACACGACACUACCUACCGGGUCUCCAGACUCGCCAGAAAUGGCAGCGGGUAACUCAAGAUCUAGCUGAGAACACGGUGGUCAUGAUAAUCGACCCGCAGCUUCCCAGAGCCCAAUGGCCAAUUGGUCGGGUUGUCAAACUGAUACCCAGUGCUGAUGGACAUGUCAGGUCAGCUCAAGUACAGGUCAAUGAUCGCCUAUACCUACGACCUGUGGCCAAACUUGUCAGACUCCCGGCACUACCGGACGGAGGUGAAGCGGACUCCAAUGACUAGGGAAUUUAUCAUUAGACAUAUUAGCUAUGCUAAUCUGGGGGCGGCUGUUCUAAAUUCCCUAUGUGUGUUUAUAGUGGAAGGACUAUUAUUAUGAAUGUGUGCCGCUAGUUUAUGUGAGUUCCGCUAUUCCGGUUUCACUUUCACUUUCAAUAGCCGAUUGCUGCGCCAUUUUCAUCAGGUGUUAAUGUGCGUGAUUGAAUAAAGACCACAUUUAACACUUUGUGGCCAUAACUUGUACAAAAUCCAGUCUAAUUGAAGCAAUGUUGUGCCAUCUGCUGUGAACCCUCAAAUACUUCAGAUAAAGAGUUGAACAGUG
Carassius gibelio (silver crucian carp) is the source of this 9905-nucleotide RNA transcript. RefSeq lists it as uncharacterized. The record is from RefSeq and is a predicted model, not a curated record. The transcript is spliced from 2 exons. Lineage: Eukaryota; Metazoa; Chordata; Actinopteri; Cypriniformes; Cyprinidae.